UGGAAUAGUUUGAUGGUCAGCUGAAUAGUAGGAGUAAGAAAAGAUGGUAUGACAUAGGAUCUCCAACUGCAUACAAGGAGACUGUGUGCAACUUGGAGAGAUUUUGACAGCUCACGUCAUCCCAAUACCUGUGGUUGACACUUACCUUUCCUAUAAGG
Small nucleolar RNA from Cavia porcellus (domestic guinea pig), 158 nucleotides. It matches the Rfam family "Small nucleolar RNA SNORA44". Rfam says of the family: ACA44 is a member of the H/ACA class of snoRNA that guide the sites of modification of uridines to pseudouridines. NCBI's taxonomy places the organism in Eukaryota, Metazoa, Chordata, Mammalia, Rodentia, Caviidae. The record is from Rfam.